UACCAUGCAGUCGAACGAUGAAGAAACAGCUUGCUGUUUCUGAUUAGUGGCGGACGGGUGAGUAAUGUAUAGGGAUCUGCCUAGUAGUGGGGGACAACAGCCGGAAACGGCUGCUAAUACCGCAUACGCUCUACGGAGGAAAGCGGGGGCUCGUAAGACCUCGUGCUAUUAGAUGAACCUAUAUCAGAUUAGCUAGUUGGUGGGGUAAGGGCCUACCAAGGCGACGAUCUGUAGCUGGUCUGAGAGGAUGAUCAGCCACACUGGGACUGAGACACGGCCCAGACUCCUACGGGAGGCAGCAGUGGGGAAUAUUGGACAAUGGGCGCAAGCCUGAUCCAGCAAUGCCGCGUGUGUGAAGAAGGCCUUCGGGUUGUAAAGCACUUUCAAUAGGGAGGAAAGGUUAUGCGUUAAUACCGUAUAGCUGUGACGUUACCUAUAGAAGAAGCACCGGCUAACUCCGUGCCAGCAGCCGCGGUAA
This 478-nucleotide ribosomal RNA is filed under the name uncultured Methylophaga sp. RNAcentral describes it as "bacterial SSU rRNA". It matches the Rfam family "Bacterial small subunit ribosomal RNA", at positions 52 to 523 of the family's 1533-position model. Lineage: Bacteria; Pseudomonadati; Pseudomonadota; Gammaproteobacteria; Thiotrichales; Piscirickettsiaceae. The record is from RNAcentral.